Molecule: ribosomal RNA, 425 nt
Filed under: uncultured bacterium
Lineage: Bacteria
Description: bacterial SSU rRNA
Rfam family: Bacterial small subunit ribosomal RNA
Source: RNAcentral
GUAACACGUGGAUAAUCUUGCCCUUCGAUGGGGAAUAACUCCGGGAAACCGAAGCUAAUUCCGCAUAAUAUUCCGAGAAACUCCGGUUUUUGGAUUCAAAGGCGUAAGUCGUCGAAGGAGGAGUCCGCGCACGAAUUAGCUAGUUGGUGAGGUACGGUCACAAGCAAUGAUCGGUACCGGACUGAGAGGUUGGCCGGCCACACUGGAACUGAGACACGGUCCAACUCCUACGGGAGGCAGCAGUGGGGAAUCUUGGACAAUGGGCGCAAGCCUGAUCCAGCCAUGCCGCGUGAGUGAUGAAGGCCCUAGGGUUGUAAAAGGCUCUUUUGUGCGGGAAGAUAAAUGACGGGUACCGCAAGAAUAAGGCCCCGGCUAAACUUCGGUGCCAAGCAAGCCCGCGGGUAAUACGAAGGGGGGCUAACGUU